GCAGACACAUUCCAGCCAAUCAGCAGCAAACCCUCCCUCCCAGACCCUCCCACCUCCUGGACAGCAUCCUUUUUACAUUCAUUGUGAAGCUGCAUUCUUAGUGAGCUGUCCAGGAGUGGGAGGGCCUGGGAAGGAGGGUCUGCUGCUGAUUGGCUGGAAUGUGUCUG
This 167-nucleotide microRNA precursor is filed under the name Pelobates cultripes (western spadefoot toad). The record is from RNAcentral. Lineage: Eukaryota; Metazoa; Chordata; Amphibia; Anura; Pelobatidae.